CUACGGGGGGCUGCAGUGGGGAAUCUUAGACAAUGGGGGAAACCCUGAUCUAGCCAUGCCGCGUGAGUGAUGAAGGCCUUAGGGUCGUAAAGCUCUUUCGCCAGGGAAGAUAAUGACGGUACCUGGUAAAGAAACCCCGGCUAACUCCGUGCCAGCAGCCGCGGUAAUACGGAGGGGGUUAGCGUUGUUCGGAAUUACUGGGCGUAAAGCGCGCGUAGGCGGAUUGUUAAGUCGGGGGUGAAAUCCCGGGGCUCAACCCCGGAACUGCCCUCGAUACUGGCAGUCUUGAGUUCGCGAGAGGUGAGUGGAAUUCCGAGUGUAGAGGUGAAAUUCGUAGAUAUUCGGAGGAACAUCAGUGGCGAAGGCGACUCACUGGCUCGAUACUGACGCUGAGGUGCGAAAGUGUGGGGAGCAAACAGGAUUAGAUACCCCGGUAGUC
This 439-nucleotide ribosomal RNA is filed under the name uncultured bacterium. RNAcentral's name for it is "partial 16S ribosomal RNA". It matches the Rfam family "Bacterial small subunit ribosomal RNA", at positions 339 to 795 of the family's 1533-position model. The record is from RNAcentral.